GAACAGGCAGUGGAAACUGAAUAGCUAGGGUGCGGUANGGGCAGAGGGAAUUCCCAGUGUAGCGGUGAAAUGCGUAGAGAUUGGGAAGAACACCGGUGGCGAAAGCGCUCUGCUAGGCCGUAACUGACACUCAUGGACGAAAGCUAGGGGAGCGAAUGGGAUUAGAUACCCCAGUAGUCCUAGCCGUAAACGAUGGAUACUAGACGUUGCUCGCAUCGACCCGAGCAGUGCCGUAGCUAACGCGUUAAGUAUCCCGCCUGGGGAGUACGCGCGCAAGCGUGAAACUCAAAGGAAUUGACGGGGGCCCGCACAAGCGGUGGAGUAUGUGGUUUAAUCCGAUGCAACGCGAAGAACCUUACCAGGACUUGACAUGUCGCGAAUCUUUGGGAAACUAAAGAGUGCCUUCGGGAGCGCGAACACAGGUGGUGCAUGGCUGUCGUCGGCUCGUGUCGUGAGAUGCUGGGUUAAGUCCCGCAACGAGCGCAACCCUCGUUCUUAGUUGCCAGCAUUAAGUUGGGCACUCUAGGGAGACUGCCGGUGAUAAACCGGAGGAAGGUGGGGAUGACGUCAAGUCAGCAUGCCCCUUACGUCCUGGGCUACACACGUACUACAAUGCUACGGACAAAGGGUCGCAAGCAUGCGAAUGCAAGCAAAUCCCAUAAACCGUGGCUCAGUUCAGAUUGCAGGCUGCAACUCGCCUGCAUGAAGGCGGAAUCGCUAGUAAUCCCAGAUCAGCACGCUGGGGUGAAUACGUUCCCGGGCCUUGUACA
This 770-nucleotide ribosomal RNA is filed under the name uncultured cyanobacterium. Its description in RNAcentral is "bacterial SSU rRNA". It matches the Rfam family "Bacterial small subunit ribosomal RNA", at positions 617 to 1387 of the family's 1533-position model. The record is from RNAcentral. Lineage: Bacteria; Bacillati; Cyanobacteriota.